CUCGUAGGCGGCUUGUUGCGUCGACUGUGAAAACCCGUGGCUCAACCAUGUGGUCUGCAGUCGAUACGGGCAGGCUAGAAUUCGGUAGGGGAGACUGGAAUUCCUGGUGUAGCGGUGAAAUGCGCAGAUAUCAGGAGGAACACCGGUGGCGAAGGCGGGUCUCUGGGCCGAUAUUGACGCUGAGGAGCGAAAGCGUGGGGAGCGAACA
RNAcentral lists this ribosomal RNA (208 nucleotides) under uncultured bacterium. RNAcentral's name for it is "partial 16S ribosomal RNA". It matches the Rfam family "Bacterial small subunit ribosomal RNA", at positions 568 to 774 of the family's 1533-position model. The record is from RNAcentral.